CCGAAGUAUCAUCAACAAAUUAUCCCAUACAAAGAACUGAAGAUCAAAAAUGUCUGGGCUUGUGGACAUGUGGAAUAGCGAGCUAGCCAAGCUGCGGAACAAGGGUCAAGAUGGCUCAGUCAAAACAAGUCACGAAAAGGAGGCUAGCCCAGUAGUUGAUGCAGAUGAAAGGAGCUCAACUCUCUGGCAGUCAGCCAGCUUGGCUAAAGCCAUGAAAGAUAAAGUGCAGCUAGCUUUGAAGUGUUCCGAGGCUUCAGUUUCUAUGCUCGUUGAAAGCUUUUGUCCUUGAACAAGAAAAAAAGUUGGGUUUUUGUAAUUUUGAAUCUUUUUCUUUUCAAUUAAAACUUGGAUGUACACGUUCAGCAUGAAGCGGAAAUGUAAGUUUGUUUUCGUCAAAUCACAGCUUAAAACCAAGUUUAGUUGGAAUUUUGGAAAAAACUAAAAAAGAAUGGAGGUGCGGGGAAUCGAAC
This 470-nucleotide long non-coding RNA is filed under the name Olea europaea subsp. europaea. The record is from RNAcentral. Lineage: Eukaryota; Viridiplantae; Streptophyta; Magnoliopsida; Lamiales; Oleaceae.